RNAcentral lists this ribosomal RNA (1374 nucleotides) under Klebsiella sp. 87C.4. RNAcentral describes it as "bacterial SSU rRNA". It matches the Rfam family "Bacterial small subunit ribosomal RNA", at positions 72 to 1440 of the family's 1533-position model. Lineage: Bacteria; Pseudomonadati; Pseudomonadota; Gammaproteobacteria; Enterobacterales; Enterobacteriaceae. The record is from RNAcentral.
CAGAGAGCUUGCUCUCGGGUGACGAGCGGCGGACGGGUGAGUAAUGUCUGGGAAACUGCCUGAUGGAGGGGGAUAACUACUGGAAACGGUAGCUAAUACCGCAUAACGUCGCAAGACCAAAGUGGGGGACCUUCGGGCCUCAUGCCAUCAGAUGUGCCCAGAUGGGAUUAGCUAGUAGGUGGGGUAAUGGCUCACCUAGGCGACGAUCCCUAGCUGGUCUGAGAGGAUGACCAGCCACACUGGAACUGAGACACGGUCCAGACUCCUACGGGAGGCAGCAGUGGGGAAUAUUGCACAAUGGGCGCAAGCCUGAUGCAGCCAUGCCGCGUGUGUGAAGAAGGCCUUCGGGUUGUAAAGCACUUUCAGCGGGGAGGAAGGCGUUAAGGUUAAUAACCUUGUCGAUUGACGUUACCCGCAGAAGAAGCACCGGCUAACUCCGUGCCAGCAGCCGCGGUAAUACGGAGGGUGCAAGCGUUAAUCGGAAUUACUGGGCGUAAAGCGCACGCAGGCGGUCUGUCAAGUCGGAUGUGAAAUCCCCGGGCUCAACCUGGGAACUGCAUUCGAAACUGGCAGGCUAGAGUCUUGUAGAGGGGGGGUAGAAUUCCAGGUGUAGCGGUGAAAUGCGUAGAGAUCUGGAGGAAUACCGGUGGCGAAGGCGGCCCCCUGGACAAAGACUGACGCUCAGGUGCGAAAGCGUGGGGAGCAAACAGGAUUAGAUACCCUGGUAGUCCACGCCGUAAACGAUGUCGAUUUGGAGGUUGUGCCCUUGAGGCGUGGCUUCCGGAGCUAACGCGUUAAAUCGACCGCCUGGGGAGUACGGCCGCAAGGUUAAAACUCAAAUGAAUUGACGGGGGCCCGCACAAGCGGUGGAGCAUGUGGUUUAAUUCGAUGCAACGCGAAGAACCUUACCUGGUCUUGACAUCCACAGAACUUUCCAGAGAUGGAUUGGUGCCUUCGGGAACUGUGAGACAGGUGCUGCAUGGCUGUCGUCAGCUCGUGUUGUGAAAUGUUGGGUUAAGUCCCGCAACGAGCGCAACCCUUAUCCUUUGUUGCCAGCGGUUAGGCCGGGAACUCAAAGGAGACUGCCAGUGAUAAACUGGAGGAAGGUGGGGAUGACGUCAAGUCAUCAUGGCCCUUACGACCAGGGCUACACACGUGCUACAAUGGCAUAUACAAAGAGAAGCGACCUCGCGAGAGCAAGCGGACCUCAUAAAGUAUGUCGUAGUCCGGAUUGGAGUCUGCAACUCGACUCCAUGAAGUCGGAAUCGCUAGUAAUCGUAGAUCAGAAUGCUACGGUGAAUACGUUCCCGGGCCUUGUACACACCGCCCGUCACACCAUGGGAGUGGGUUGCAAAAGAAGUAGGUAGCUUAACC